Long non-coding RNA from Leopardus geoffroyi (Geoffroy's cat), 150 nucleotides. RefSeq lists it as uncharacterized. The record is from RefSeq and is a predicted model, not a curated record. The transcript has 3 exons. Lineage: Eukaryota; Metazoa; Chordata; Mammalia; Carnivora; Felidae.
CUUUAAGAAGUACAACCUACCAGUUAUAAAAUAAAUAUGUCAUGGAGAUCUCACGUACAGCCUAGGGAAUCUAGCCAAUCAUAUUGUAAUAAAUUUGUAUAGUGACAGAUGAUAACUAGACUUAUAGUGAGGACCAUUUUAUAAUGUAUA